CCCUUAGACGUUCUGGGCCGCACGCGCGCUACACUGACCGGUGCAACAAGCAUCCGUCCUUGGCCGACAGGCCCGGGCAAUCUUUGAACGCCGGUCGUGAUGGGGAUAGACUUUUGCAAUUUUUGGUCUUCAACGAGGAAUUCCUAGUAAACGCAAGUCAUCAACUUGCAUUGAUUACGUCCCUGCCCUUUGUACACACCGCCCGUCGCACCUACCGAUUGAAUGGUCCGGUGAAGCCUCCGGAUUGGCGCGCACCUCGGUGCCGCCGAGAAGUUGGCUAAACCUUACCAUUUAGAGGAAGGUGAAGUCGUACCA
This 315-nucleotide ribosomal RNA is filed under the name uncultured eukaryote. Its description in RNAcentral is "partial 18S ribosomal RNA". It matches the Rfam family "Eukaryotic small subunit ribosomal RNA", at positions 1470 to 1796 of the family's 1831-position model. The record is from RNAcentral.